AACCCUAACUUCAGCUUCCCAUUUCUAUCACCACCAUUAACAGCGUCAUCAACAUCUAAAACCUCUUAAUCCCUUAACAACCACAAGUAUAUCGAUUGGGUUUCUUCAUCUUAAACGAUUUCUACGGUUUCACAAUCUCUUCAAUGUUUUCUUACUUUCUCAAAUAGGUGUACUACGAAACCUAAUUUUCACUCAGCGAUGUAGAAGCAAAGGGGUUUUAUCGUUCGAAGAUUUUGGUUAGAAAUUGAAGCUGUUCCUUACAUGAUGCACUUCGGGAUAGUAAAAGAGAUGUUUGUUUCCUAAAAAGAUUAUGACAUUUGAAAAGGUUGCUUAAAAAGGUUAAAAAGAUGCUAGUGAAGGAAUUUAGAUGUUUAUUGGUAUAAGGUUAUCUGAGAGUCCUGGAAUGGGUUUAAAUUUGAUUAGAACUUUACUGAAACUUAGAUUUUUCAUUUUCAUACGUUUUGAUUAGAUUUAUCCAAAGCCCAGACAGUAUUUGUGUUUUUAGUUGGAUUCAUGAAAAGGGUUUUGCUCAUUUUUGAAUCUUGUAUUUUGGUUUUGUUCAAUCUUAGAUUUUUAUGUUAGGGUUUAGGUGAAAGCCUGUGAUGCAAGGAUAAUAUUUGCCACUCUGGAUGGGGGUAGUUAACCCCUUUGCUGAUUAUUUAUCCACCAAGAUUUACGAGGCUUCACAUGCUUCAUAUCAUCACUAUUUAUUUAUUUUUUUUGUUUUUUUUUUGUUCAGUUAAUUUCUUGCCCUGUUUCGGUUAGAACUGAUUUCCAAGUUGAUUUACAUUUUGAUGCUUUCGUUGUCGUGUUGUAUGGUUGGAUGGUUAGCGAUUUAGGGUUGUUAGUCAAACUGUUGACUAUUUUUGGAUUGUCCAUAUGUAGAUUAGGUUAUGGUUUGUUGAAGCCAGUGAUGUAAGAAUAAUAUUUGCUACUCUUGAUCGGGGAUAUAACCCCUUCUGAUGAUUAUCCUACUUGGUUUACAUAUGAAGUUUAUGAUAAAUUGUUAGCUCAAUUGACAUGGGGCAUGUUCCAUGAUCGAUUUCAAGCAAAAUGUGCCAUGGGUUUUAAAUUGGGCGUAAAGUAAUCUAGGGGCUGACUUACAUUGUGCCUUUUGCCAUGCUCAGCUUGAUAGCAGUUCUGAAUCGAAACAAUGUCGCUCUUUCUGUAUGAAAUACUGCAGGGAUGAGUGUCCAGUUAUAUUUACCAAUUGCCGACUGUGUGUGUGCAUGUGUGCAUGCGUUUAUUAUUUUUUUUUAUAAACUAUUGGGCAUGUUUCAGUAUUAGAAUUUCGAUGUAGUAUAAUUGAACAAUAGCACAAAGGAUGCUUUUAAUGAUUUCAUUAUAUAUAAUUCUUGGCUGGCGUCUUUCUAGGUUUUUCUGUCUGGCUUAAUAGUGGAGCAGACACGUGAAGCUCUUGAAGUGGACAUUGCCAACAAGUUUAUUGGUGGUGGAAGGAGUUCCAAGUCACGAUUUAUAGGUUCUCUUUGGAUUCUAUAUCUGUAAAUUGCUUGCAUUUCGAGGAAAUUAGUUCUCUGCUGCAUAUAAACAAAAUAAGAUGCAGGUUCCACAGGUGAUUCUAUUCUAUAAGGAAGUUCAACUGUUGCCAAAUACUGUAAGGUUUACUCUCUCGAACUCUUAUGCAGUCAUUUUUGACACUUACGAGAACGUAAAUUUCAAUUGCUCAUAGUUUAAGUUAGAAUUCAUUAGAUGGUACUGGUAGUAAUUGUCAAAUGUCACUCUAUAAGGUUGUGUAUUAAGGUGCAAGAAAAUCAAUUCAAUCUCUUUAGAUAGGGGCUUUGGACCAGGUCAAAGGAAUCCUGUUUUUGCUUUUAUCUCCUUGAAACUCAGACUUCAGAUGAGAGAAAUUCACUUUGUUGGAUUCCUAAGCAAACUUCUGGAAACCAAAAUCAUGCAAGUUCUCCGCUUCAAGCAUGGACAUAUUUACUCAGUGGGUGUUUCUGUAUUUCUUGGUGGUAACAAGCCUUCAAGAACUGGGGAUGUGCAUGGUGAUAUCAGUGUUAACUUGUGAUCCUGACAUCUCAUUGAAACCGGUAUGCCUCUGUUUGAACGAUAAAAAUCUUUUAUCAAGUUUUGUGUUGAAUGUUUUGCUGCUGGAAGCUCUAGUUCUUCCGGAACUUUGGUGAUACCAGCGCCAAAUCCAAUUCCCCAAGCUCCAUACGCUCCUGUUAACCCAAACCUCAAGCGUGUUUCCUCAUGUGGUGAGAAAAGGGAAAAGCGUGGAAGUGGUAGCGGUCAGCCUUCUGCACCCAACCAUGGCUCCCCAGUUAGCGGGAUGAUUGGAGGAAAUUCUUCUGUAGCUGCGCCUGUUGCUGGAUACUGGGGUGUUCCUCCAUUUAUAAGGAGCUAUAGCCACUUUGACAACACUGGUCGUGUGUGCCACAAGGGUGUGCGAUGUGAUGAUUGCGGGGUACAUCCUAUUACAGGACCUCGGUUUAAGUCCAAAGUCGCCCUUUUGCUCAAGGUCCAGCUCCACCCAGCCCGUAUCUACCACAUAUCUUGCAAGGCCGUGGGAAGAAGCAACAGCUCCCAUAUCUUCAGUGCCAUUUCAUUCAAGACGUGAACAUUCAACUAAUCAUCACCUGCACAUCCUUACAGGUGAGACUUUUAUGUAGGUUGACCUUGUUUUGGAUGAAAUAUUGCGUUUUCAGGAAGAAGGCCUAUCAGAUCAAGAUGUUCCGACUAUCCUUGAAAUCGAGUAAUGUGCCCAUGAAAACGCGUUGCAGGAUUCUUCAAAACUACCAAUCGCGAGUCUAUUUUGGAUCUUAGUGUUUCUUUCAAGACUCAAGAUGAUGGACAAGAUGAAGUCAGAGGAUCUUUAAAACCAUUAACAUCACAAUUAUCAUUACAACGCACACUGCCUUUCCCCUGCAGAAAGCAGUACAGUGUAGUGAUUCUAAAGCCCCAAGCCUCACGCUUAAGGCGGCUUAAAUCUCUAUACUGCUCUACAAUAAACAAGUAUAGUACAAACACAAAGGCCGAUUUCACCCAGUCAUAAGCAGUUCUUGAAUCUACAUUUAAGUCUUGUAUAUUGUCUUAUCUACUACUUUAGCUGCAGUUUGUAUAUAUUCAAGGCUAAAUCUUGGUGUGCUCUACUAUGAGAUAGCUUUGUGUUCGACAAAAUGUAGUCACAAGUGCAAUACAAUAAACACGCAGUUUCUUUCCCUUUCUUUUGUAAAUGUACUUGAUGUUUAAACGUGUAUCAUUAAACAUCUCAAUAUUAAUAUUAUUGGUGAAGAAUUGGAUUGAUCGAA
This is a long non-coding RNA of Papaver somniferum (opium poppy), 3275 nucleotides long. RefSeq lists it as uncharacterized. The record is from RefSeq and is a predicted model, not a curated record. NCBI's taxonomy places the organism in Eukaryota, Viridiplantae, Streptophyta, Magnoliopsida, Ranunculales, Papaveraceae. The transcript has 8 exons.